Molecule: ribosomal RNA, 406 nt
Filed under: uncultured bacterium
Lineage: Bacteria
Description: partial 16S ribosomal RNA
Rfam family: Bacterial small subunit ribosomal RNA
Source: RNAcentral
AUUGAACGCUGGCGGCAGGCCUAACACAUGCAAGUCGAACGAGUGGCGGACGGGUGAGUAAUGUCUGGGAAACUGCCCGCUGGAGGGGGCUAACUCCUGGAAACGGUAGCUUAUCCCGUAUCACAUCGGAUGUGCCCAGAUGGGAUUCGCUAGUAGGUGGGGUAACGGCUCACCUAGGCGACGAUCCCUAGCUGGUCUGAGAGGAUGACCAGCCACACUGGAACUGAGACACGGUCCAGACUCCUACGGGAGGCAGCAGUGGGGAAUAUUGCACAAUGGGCGCAAGCCUGAUGCAGCCAUGCCGCGUGUAUGAAGAAGGCCUUCGGGUUGUAAAGUACUUUCAGCGAGGAGGCGUUACUCGCAGAAGAAGCACCGGCUAACUCCGUGCCAGCAGCCGCGGUAAUAC